Molecule: transfer RNA, 85 nt
Organism: Felis catus (domestic cat)
Lineage: Eukaryota; Metazoa; Chordata; Mammalia; Carnivora; Felidae
Rfam family: tRNA
About the family: Transfer RNA (tRNA) molecules are approximately 80 nucleotides in length. Their secondary structure includes four short double-helical elements and three loops (D, anti-codon, and T loops).
Source: Rfam
GCCUGGGUGGCUUGGUCGGUUAAGCGUCUGACUUCGGCUCAGGACAUGAUCUCACGGUCCGUGAGUUCGAGCCCCGCAUCGGGCU